AAGGGCUGGGAAAGACCGGUGCCAGCCGCCGCGGUAAUACCGGCAGCUCAAGUGGUCGUCGCUUUUAUUGGGCCUAAAACGUCCGUAGCCUGUUUGGUAAAUCUGUGGGUAAAUCAACCAGCUUAACUGGUUGAAUUCUGCAGAGACUGCCAGACUAGGGACCGGGAGAGGUGUGGGGUACUCUAGGGGUAGGGGUAAAAUCCUGUCAUCCUUAGAGGACCACCAGUUGCGAAGGCGCCACACUGGAACGGAUCCGACGGUCAGGGACGAAGCCUAGGGGCACGAACCGGAUUAGAUACCCGGGUAGUCCUAGGUGUAAACGCUGUGAACUUGGUGUCGGGGAUCCGUAAUGGGUUCUCGGUGCCGGAGUGAAGAUGUUAAGUUCACUGCCUGGGGAGUACGGUCGCAAGGCUGAAACUUAAAGGAAUUGGCGGGGGAGCACCGCAACGGGAGGAGCGUGCGGUUUAAUUGGAUUCAACGCCGGAAAACUCACCAAGGCCGACUGUUAGAUGAAGAUCAGCGUAAUGAGCUUAUCGGAUUUUCAGAGAGGUGGUGCAUGGCCGUCGUCAGUUCGUACUGUAAAGCGUUCUGUUAAGUCAGAUAACGAACGAGACCCUCAUCUUUAUUUGCUACCCCAUUCCCCGGAAUGGGCGCACUAUAGAGAGACCGCUGGUGUGAAACCAGAGGAAGGCGAGGGCAACGACAGGUCAGUAUGCCCCGAAUGUC
Molecule: ribosomal RNA, 726 nt
Filed under: marine metagenome
Description: bacterial SSU rRNA
Rfam family: Archaeal small subunit ribosomal RNA
Source: RNAcentral